AAUUGAGAAUGGAAAUGGGGAAUGUGCAAAAGAGACAACAACCCGACCAUAGAAAAAAAAAAAAAAAACAACAGCAGAAGGUCACCAACAGGUCUUCAAUGUAGCGAGAAAUUCCCGCACCCGGAGGCGUCCUUCAGCUGGCCCCUAAACAAAUAUAUACUAGUUCAGUGAUAAUGAACGCCAUACUAAUUUCCAAAUUGUACACAAGAAACUAAAAUUAAAAUAAUACAAGACUAACAAAGGCCAGAGGCUCCUGACUUGGGACAGGUGCAAAAAUGCGGCGGGGUUAAACAUGUUUGUGAGAUCUCAACCCUCCCCCUAUACCUCUAGCCAAUGUAGAAAAGUAAACGCAUAACAAUACGCACAUUAAAAUUCAGUCCAAGAGAAGUCCGAGUCUGAUGUCAGAAGAUGUAACCAAAGAAAAUAAACAAAAUGACAAUAAUACAUAAAUAACAACAGACUACUAGCAGUUAACUGACAUGCCAGCUCCAGACUUCAAUUAAACUGACUGAAAGAUUAUGAUUUCAUCAUAUGAACAUCAGGCACAAUCCUUCCCGUUAGGGGUUUAGUAUCAUACCAUCAUAACAUAUAUGAGAAGAACAUAACCCGUGUCAUGCCAGC
This 621-nucleotide long non-coding RNA is filed under the name Mytilus galloprovincialis (Mediterranean mussel). Lineage: Eukaryota; Metazoa; Mollusca; Bivalvia; Mytilida; Mytilidae. The record is from RNAcentral.